GGAUAAUCAUGAAGAUCACACUCAUUGCCGUGUGCCUUAUUGGACUGUGUUGUGCAGUUUUUGCUAAUGACGAGCAUGAACGAGAGAAGCGCUCAUCCAGUGGAGAGAGAAGACCAUACUGGCCACAAUUUAUUCCCAACAUUCCCACCACCACCACCAACAACAACAAUAACAACAUG
Trichomycterus rosablanca is the source of this 179-nucleotide long non-coding RNA. RefSeq lists it as uncharacterized. The transcript is spliced from 3 exons. NCBI's taxonomy places the organism in Eukaryota, Metazoa, Chordata, Actinopteri, Siluriformes, Trichomycteridae. The record is from RefSeq and is a predicted model, not a curated record.